GGGACACAGAGAGGGACACGGGGGAGGAGGACGGAGAGGAGGUCGUCCCCCGUAACGGCCAGAGAUCACCAGGUGGGAUCGGGAUCACCAGCAAGGAAAAGGCGUCACGAUUCCCCGAGUCCCUGCGAUCGAUGGAGGAAUCGCAGGCCUCCAUAGACGGCCUCUCCCAGAGGGAGUAAUGGCCGCCACGGUCACCUUCUCCCAUCGCGCUUCCCCGCACCAUCACCCGCUGCCGCCAUGUUCUAGAACUUCAAGGAGCCCAGCGGAGCGUGCUGCAUGACCUGAGCAGCAGUUUCAAAACGCAAUAAAAGUUUCCAAAGUUGAUGGAAAGACUGGAGGAAAGACUAGCUGCUGAGAGUUGUCUUAUACCUGCAUUAAGGAAGCAAUUAAACACACCUGAGCAAUUACAAACGCCUGUGAAGACAUGUGUCCCAGACAUUAUGGUGCCCUGAAAUGGGGGGACUAUAUAUAAACACUGCUGUAAUUUCUACAUGGUGAAACCAAAAUGUACAAAAAUGGCCUUUAAUAAAAUCUGACAAUGUGCACU
Leucoraja erinaceus (little skate) is the source of this 547-nucleotide long non-coding RNA. RefSeq lists it as uncharacterized. The transcript has 2 exons. Lineage: Eukaryota; Metazoa; Chordata; Chondrichthyes; Rajiformes; Rajidae. The record is from RefSeq and is a predicted model, not a curated record.